AUCUUUGUUUGCCAGCACAUAAUGGUGGGACUCCAGGAGACUGCCGUGAUUAACCGGAGGAAGGUGGGGACGACGUCAAGUCAUCAUGGCCCUUACGAGUAGGGCUACACACGUGCUACAAUGGCAGAUACAGAGGGCAGCGAGACAGCGAUGUUUAGCGAAUCCCUUAAAGUUUGUCGUAGUCCGGAUUGGAGUCUGCAACUCGACUCCAUGAAGUCGGAAUCGCUAGUAAUCGUGGAUCAGAAUGCCACGGUGAAUACGUUCCCGGGCCUUGUACACACCGCCCGUCACACCAUGGGAGUGGGCUGCACCAGAAGUAGAUAGCUUAACCUUCGGGAGGGCGUUUACCACGGUGUGGUUCAUGAC
RNAcentral lists this ribosomal RNA (366 nucleotides) under uncultured bacterium. Its description in RNAcentral is "bacterial SSU rRNA". It matches the Rfam family "Bacterial small subunit ribosomal RNA", at positions 1107 to 1475 of the family's 1533-position model. The record is from RNAcentral.